CUUGCUCUGUGGAUCAGUGGCGAACGGGUGAGUAACACGUGAGCAACCUGCCCUGGACUCUGGGAUAAGCGCUGGAAACGGCGUCUAAUACUGGAUACGAGACGUGGCCGCAUGGUCAACGUUUGGAAAGAUUUUUUGGUUCAGGAUGGGCUCGCGGCCUAUCAGCUUGUUGGUGAGGUAAUGGCUCACCAAGGCGUCGACGGGUAGCCGGCCUGAGAGGGUGACCGGCCACACUGGGACUGAGACACGGCCCAGACUCCUACGGGAGGCAGCAGUGGGGAAUAUUGCACAAUGGGCGAAAGCCUGAUGCAGCAACGCCGCGUGAGGGAUGACGGCCUUCGGGUUGUAAACCUCUUUUAGCAAGGAAGAAGCGAAAGUGACGGUACUUGCAGAAAAAGCGCCGGCUAACUACGUGCCAGCAGCCGCGGUAAUACGUAGGGCGCAAGCGUUAUCCGGAAUUAUUGGGCGUAAAGAGCUCGUAGGCGGUUUGUCGCGUCUGCUGUGAAAACUGGAGGCUCAACCUCCAGCCUGCAGUGGGUACGGGCAGACUAGAGUGCGGUAGGGGAGAUUGGAAUUCCUGGUGUAGCGGUGGAAUGCGCAGAUAUCAGGAGGAACACCGAUGGCGAAGGCAGAUCUCUGGGCCGUAACUGACGCUGAGGAGCGAAAGGGUGGGGAGCAAACAGGCUUAGAUACCCUGGUAGUCCACCCCGUAAACGUUGGGAACUAGUUGUGGGGACCAUUCCACGGUUUCCGUGACGCAGCUAACGCAUUAAGUUCCCCGCCUGGGGAGUACGGCCGCA
This 800-nucleotide ribosomal RNA is filed under the name Microbacterium binotii. RNAcentral describes it as "bacterial SSU rRNA". It matches the Rfam family "Bacterial small subunit ribosomal RNA", at positions 79 to 890 of the family's 1533-position model. Lineage: Bacteria; Bacillati; Actinomycetota; Actinomycetes; Micrococcales; Microbacteriaceae. The record is from RNAcentral.